RNAcentral lists this ribosomal RNA (759 nucleotides) under uncultured archaeon. RNAcentral's name for it is "bacterial SSU rRNA". It matches the Rfam family "Archaeal small subunit ribosomal RNA", at positions 49 to 808 of the family's 1478-position model. The record is from RNAcentral.
CCAUGCUAGUUGCACGAGUUCACACUCGUAGCAGAUAGCUCAGUAACACGUGGCCAAACUACCCUCUGGAGCACGAUAACCUCGGGAAACUGAGGCUAAUAGUGCAUACCGCUCGACGCCUGGAACUGGCUCGAGCCUCAAAUGCUCCGGCGCCAGAGGAUGUGGCUGCGGCCGAUUAGGUAGACGGUGGGGUAACGGCCCACCGUGCCGAUAAUCGGUACGGGUUGUGAGAGCAAGAGCCCGGAGACGGUAUCUGAGACAAGAUACCGGGCCCUACGGGGCGCAGCAGGCGCGAAACCUUUACACUGCACGCCAGUGCGAUAAGGGGACUCCAAGUGCGAGGGCAUAACGUCCUCGCUUUUCUCGACCGUAAGGUGGUCGAGGAAUAAGGGCUGGGCAAGACCGGUGCUAGCCGCCGCGGUAAUACCGGCAGCCCAAGUGAUGGCCGCUCUUAUUGGGCCUAAAGCGUCCGUAGCUGGCCGCGCAAGUCCAUCGGGAAAUCUGUCCGCUUAACGGACAGGCGUCCGGUGGAAACUGUGCGGCUUGGGACCGGAAGACCAGAGGGGUACGUCCGGGGUAGGAGUGAAAUCCUGUAAUCCUGGACGGACCACCGGUGGCGAAAGCGCCUCUGGAAGACGGAUCCGACGGUGAGGGACGAAAGCUCGGGUCACGAACCGGAUUAGAUACCCGGGUAGUCCGAGCUGUAAACGAUGUCUGCUAGGUGUGGCACAGGCUACGAGCCUGUGCUGUGCCGUAGGG